CGAACUGCGGACUGGUGGAAGGUUUUGCUCUUUGCACACUGGGUGUCCUGCCAUUGAGGGCAAUGCCUGAACUGUUGCGAGCGACCUUGUCAGAGCAGGAGGUGGUGAUGGGAACCUCUAGUGCUCUCCUGCCUCUGCAAAGAUGGGAUGGGUGACACUGAUGAGUUCCGUGGAGUAGUUGAACUCGACUGAUGGGGAAGAGAGGGUGACUUAAGCCUUGGGAAAUGGACCUCUUGUUCCACUGAAAUGCCUGGACAUACGCAAGAAGUACACAGAUCUAAAGACAAGUUGGCUCAGAUUCGGAUGCUUGAAAGAAUGCUGUAGAGUUUGGAUGAUUCCUCUAGACGAACAUCUCCUGAAGGUUGCAGGGUUCAAGGAAUCUGGAUGCUGUCUUGUAGCUGGUAUGAACUACAAGGUGCUCACGAGAGCAGCUGAGAUAUCAAAUGUCUUCAAGUUGAAAUAACUGGAGCUUAUUGUUGUUGUACUAAUAAAUAUAUAAUUUGC
Long non-coding RNA from Gekko japonicus, 504 nucleotides. RefSeq lists it as uncharacterized. The transcript is spliced from 5 exons. The record is from RefSeq and is a predicted model, not a curated record. Lineage: Eukaryota; Metazoa; Chordata; Lepidosauria; Squamata; Gekkonidae.